GGGCUGCUGCCUUGCUGGGUCCGAAGACGGGGAUCCCGGCUUCGCGGACGGCGUCCGAUACGCCGGCGGCCAGC
RNAcentral lists this transfer RNA (74 nucleotides) under Arthrobacter sp. NicSoilB11. RNAcentral describes it as "tRNA-Gly". Lineage: Bacteria; Bacillati; Actinomycetota; Actinomycetes; Micrococcales; Micrococcaceae. The record is from RNAcentral. RNAcentral also lists the same sequence under 1 other name.